UGGCAAUGAGGAUAUACCGGGUUCCCUCUACUGAUAAUCAAUGAGGAAUAACCUUGGCACGGAAUCGAAUCACUAUCGCCACCACUGAGCCA
Molecule: small nucleolar RNA, 92 nt
Filed under: Chlamydomonas reinhardtii
Lineage: Eukaryota; Viridiplantae; Chlorophyta; Chlorophyceae; Chlamydomonadales; Chlamydomonadaceae
Description: CrCD74 snoRNA
Source: RNAcentral